Molecule: ribosomal RNA, 380 nt
Filed under: uncultured Mycobacterium sp.
Lineage: Bacteria; Bacillati; Actinomycetota; Actinomycetes; Mycobacteriales; Mycobacteriaceae
Description: bacterial SSU rRNA
Rfam family: Bacterial small subunit ribosomal RNA
Source: RNAcentral
UACGUAGGGUGCGAGCGUUGUCCGGAAUUACUGGGCGUAAAGAGCUCGUAGGUGGUUUGUCGCGUUGUUCGUGAAAUCUCACGGCUUAACUGUGAGCGUGCGGGCGAUACGGGCAGACUAGAGUACUGCAGGGGAGACUGGAAUUCCUGGUGUAGCGGUGGAAUGCGCAGAUAUCAGGAGGAACACCGGUGGCGAAGGCGGGUCUCUGGGCAGUAACUGACGCUGAGGAGCGAAAGCGUGGGGAGCGAACAGGAUUAGAUACCCUGGUAGUCCACGCCGUAAACGGUGGGUACUAGGUGUGGGUUUCCUUCCUUGGGAUCCGUGCCGUAGCUAACGCAUUAAGUACCCCGCUGGGGAGUACGGCCGCGAGGCUAAAACUC